GCCACCUUAGCUCAGUUGGUCAGAGCAACUCACUUGUAAUGAGUAGGUCCGGGGUUCGAAUCCCCGAGGUGGCUCCA
Molecule: transfer RNA, 77 nt
Filed under: Patescibacteria group bacterium
Lineage: Bacteria
Description: tRNA-Thr
Rfam family: tRNA
About the family: Transfer RNA (tRNA) molecules are approximately 80 nucleotides in length.
Source: RNAcentral